RNAcentral lists this ribosomal RNA (372 nucleotides) under uncultured organism. Its description in RNAcentral is "bacterial SSU rRNA". It matches the Rfam family "Bacterial small subunit ribosomal RNA", at positions 526 to 896 of the family's 1533-position model. The record is from RNAcentral.
CGGGGGGGGCAAGCGUUGUUCGGAAUUACUGGGCGUAAAGGGCUCGUAGGUGGCCAACUAAGUCAUACGUGAAAUCCCUCAGCUUAACUGGGGAACUGCGUCUGAUACUGGAUGGCUUGAGUUUGGGAGAGGGAUGCGGAAUUCCAGGUGUAGCGGUGAAAUGCGUAGAUAUCUGGAGGAACACCGGUGGCGAAGGCGGCAUCCUGGACCAAUACUGACACUGAGGAGCGAAAGCCAGGGGGAGCAAACGGGAUUAGAUACCCCGGUAGUCCUGGCCCUAAACGAUGAAUGCUUGGUGUGGCGGGUAUCGAUCCCUGCCGUGCCGAAGCUAACGCAUUAAGCAUUCCGCCUGGGGAUACGGUCGCAAGGCUG